This 1505-nucleotide ribosomal RNA is filed under the name Acinetobacter calcoaceticus. RNAcentral describes it as "bacterial SSU rRNA". It matches the Rfam family "Bacterial small subunit ribosomal RNA". Lineage: Bacteria; Pseudomonadati; Pseudomonadota; Gammaproteobacteria; Moraxellales; Moraxellaceae. The record is from RNAcentral. RNAcentral also lists the same sequence under 1 other name.
AGAGUUUGAUUAUGGCUCAGAUUGAACGCUGGCGGCAGGCUUAACACAUGCAAGUCGAGCGGAGUGAUGGUGCUUGCACUAUCACUUAGCGGCGGACGGGUGAGUAAUGCUUAGGAAUCUGCCUAUUAGUGGGGGACAACAUUUCGAAAGGAAUGCUAAUACCGCAUACGUCCUACGGGAGAAAGCAGGGGAUCUUCGGACCUUGCGCUAAUAGAUGAGCCUAAGUCGGAUUAGCUAGUUGGUGGGGUAAAGGCCUACCAAGGCGACGAUCUGUAGCGGGUCUGAGAGGAUGAUCCGCCACACUGGGACUGAGACACGGCCCAGACUCCUACGGGAGGCAGCAGUGGGGAAUAUUGGACAAUGGGCGCAAGCCUGAUCCAGCCAUGCCGCGUGUGUGAAGAAGGCCUUAUGGUUGUAAAGCACUUUAAGCGAGGAGGAGGCUACUGAAGUUAAUACCUUCAGAUAGUGGACGUUACUCGCAGAAUAAGCACCGGCUAACUCUGUGCCAGCAGCCGCGGUAAUACAGAGGGUGCAAGCGUUAAUCGGAUUUACUGGGCGUAAAGCGCGCGUAGGCGGCUAAUUAAGUCAAAUGUGAAAUCCCCGAGCUUAACUUGGGAAUUGCAUUCGAUACUGGUUAGCUAGAGUGUGGGAGAGGAUGGUAGAAUUCCAGGUGUAGCGGUGAAAUGCGUAGAGAUCUGGAGGAAUACCGAUGGCGAAGGCAGCCAUCUGGCCUAACACUGACGCUGAGGUGCGAAAGCAUGGGGAGCAAACAGGAUUAGAUACCCUGGUAGUCCAUGCCGUAAACGAUGUCUACUAGCCGUUGGGGCCUUUGAGGCUUUAGUGGCGCAGCUAACGCGAUAAGUAGACCGCCUGGGGAGUACGGUCGCAAGACUAAAACUCAAAUGAAUUGACGGGGGCCCGCACAAGCGGUGGAGCAUGUGGUUUAAUUCGAUGCAACGCGAAGAACCUUACCUGGCCUUGACAUAGUAAGAACUUUCCAGAGAUGGAUUGGUGCCUUCGGGAACUUACAUACAGGUGCUGCAUGGCUGUCGUCAGCUCGUGUCGUGAGAUGUUGGGUUAAGUCCCGCAACGAGCGCAACCCUUUUCCUUAUUUGCCAGCGAGUAAUGUCGGGAACUUUAAGGAUACUGCCAGUGACAAACUGGAGGAAGGCGGGGACGACGUCAAGUCAUCAUGGCCCUUACGGCCAGGGCUACACACGUGCUACAAUGGUCGGUACAAAGGGUUGCUACCUAGCGAUAGGAUGCUAAUCUCAAAAAGCCGAUCGUAGUCCGGAUUGGAGUCUGCAACUCGACUCCAUGAAGUCGGAAUCGCUAGUAAUCGCGGAUCAGAAUGCCGCGGUGAAUACGUUCACGGGCCUUGUACACACCGCCCGUCACACCAUGGGAGUUUGUUGCACCAGAAGUAGGUAGUCUAACCGCAAGGGGGACGCUUACCACGGUGUGGCCGAUGACUGGGGUGAAGUCGUAACAAGGUAACCGUAAAU